Molecule: ribosomal RNA, 450 nt
Filed under: uncultured Syntrophomonas sp.
Lineage: Bacteria; Bacillati; Bacillota; Clostridia; Eubacteriales; Syntrophomonadaceae
Description: bacterial SSU rRNA
Rfam family: Bacterial small subunit ribosomal RNA
Source: RNAcentral
CGGUGGAGCAUGUGGUUAAUUCGAUGCAACGCGAAGAACCUUACCUGGGCUUGACAUCCCGGGAAUCCCUUGGAACAAGGGAGUGCCCUUCGGGGAACCUGGAGACAGGUGCUGCAUGGCUGUCGUCAGCUCGUGUUGUGAGACGUAGGGUUAAGUCCCGCAACGAGCGCAACCCUUGUCUUAGUUGCCAUCAUUAAGUUGGGCACUCUAAAGAGACUGCCGAUGACAAAUCGGAGGAAGGUGGGGAUGACGUCAAAUCAUCAUGCCCUUUAUGUCCUGGGCUACACACGUGCUACAAUGGAUGGUACAGAGAGCAGCGAGGCAGCGAUGUGGAGCGAAUCUCAAAAAGCCAUUCUCAGUUCGGAUUGGAGUCUGCAACUCGACUCCAUGAAGUCGGAAUCGCUAGUAAUCGCGAAUCAGCAUGUCGCGGUGAAUGCGUUCCCGGGCCUU